RNAcentral lists this long non-coding RNA (283 nucleotides) under Lathyrus oleraceus (garden pea). Its description in RNAcentral is "Pisum sativum (pea) long non-coding RNA (PSAT_LNC004983)". Lineage: Eukaryota; Viridiplantae; Streptophyta; Magnoliopsida; Fabales; Fabaceae. The record is from RNAcentral.
GAUUCACUUCAGUUCAUACAUCAGACCUACCAUGAUAGUUCAGCAACAAUAUUUCAAAACCUGCAAUGCAAAAAUAUCGAGCAAGCAACCAUCCUGCACAACAACAUGACUAUGCCAUCAUGACUCAAACCUGCUGCAAUACAAAAGGCCAAAGGUUCACCAUGAGCAAGAGUCCAAUGUAGAAAAACACAAGCAUGCACCAAAUAAGAUCCUACAAAAAACCAGGUUUUAGAGUGGAGGAAAUUCAUGAACUUUGAUCUAACUUCCAGCAAGACAAUGUGAA